Molecule: long non-coding RNA, 212 nt
Filed under: Elaeis guineensis (African oil palm)
Lineage: Eukaryota; Viridiplantae; Streptophyta; Magnoliopsida; Arecales; Arecaceae
Description: long non-coding RNA (EGUI_LNC015026)
Source: RNAcentral
GCUCCUUGACUUAGAUCUGGACUCCUUCAAGAUCUAGAAGAAGAAAAUCUGCUGCACAAACCCUUCGCAUUGAUUUGACGGGAUUUGUUCAAGACCACCAAGAAGAGAAGAAAAACUAUUUUUCUUCUCUUCCUCUCUCUCUAAUCUCUAUCUCUCAAAUCCUAUCUAGAGGGAGAUGGGGCAUUGGGAUGUGAAGGAGGAAGGGGGGAGGG